CUCCGUGUAGGCCCGCCUCGGUCUCGAUAUAUAAAGGCCCAUUGUUCGGCGCUCGGUCUAUCACUGUCCCCUCAGGAAGCCGGACGGAUCGCCCUCAGAGAGCGGCAUGAUGAAGUUCUACACGCUCCUCCUGCUUGCCGCUCUGAUCGCCGUUGCGACGGCCGGCUAUCACUACGGAGGUCACGGCGGGUUCGGGGGCGGUUAUGGCCACGGCGACCACGGCUACCACCACCCAGUGGGACGCAAGUUCUACUACCACACGCACAUCAACCACGGAUACGGGUACGGACACGGGCACUACGGCUGAUCACUUAAGACCUCGGAGGGCGUUACAAGAGGCCCCAUCAAAUGCUGCAGCUACGAACCUCUUGAGCAACUACGAAUUAAACAGAUUGUUCCUAUU
This is a long non-coding RNA of Rhipicephalus sanguineus (brown dog tick), 403 nucleotides long. RefSeq lists it as uncharacterized. The record is from RefSeq and is a predicted model, not a curated record. The transcript has 2 exons. Lineage: Eukaryota; Metazoa; Arthropoda; Arachnida; Ixodida; Ixodidae.